Molecule: ribosomal RNA, 497 nt
Filed under: uncultured bacterium
Lineage: Bacteria
Description: partial 16S ribosomal RNA
Rfam family: Bacterial small subunit ribosomal RNA
Source: RNAcentral
GAUGAACGCUGGCGGCGUGCCUAAUACAUGCAAGUCGAGCGAACAGACGAGGAGCUUGCUCCUCUGACGUUAGCGGCGGACGGGUGAGUAACACGUGGAUAACCUACCUAUAAGACUGGGAUAACUUCGGGAAACCGGAGCUAAUACCGGAUAAUAUAUUGAACCGCAUGGUUCAAUAGUGAAAGACGGUUUUGCUGUCACUUAUAGAUGGAUCCGCGCCGCAUUAGCUAGUUGGUAAGGUAACGGCUUACCAAGGCAACGAUGCGUAGCCGACCUGAGAGGGGGAUCGGCCACACUGGAGCUGAGACACGGACCAGGCGCCUACGGGAGGCAGCAGUAGGGAAUCUUCCGCAAUGGGCGAAAGCCUGACGGAGCAACGCCGCGUGAGUGAUGAAGGUCUUCGGAUCGUAAAACUCUGUUAUGAGGGAAGAACAAAUGUGUAAGUAACUAUGCACGUCUUGACGGUACCUAAUCAGAAAGCCACGGCUAACUACGUG